GGGUUGUGAGGUUAAGCGACUAAGCGUACACGGUGGAUGCCCUGGCAGUCAGAGGCGAUGAAGGGCGUGCUAAUCUGCGAUAAGCGCCGGUAAGGUGAUAUGAACCGUUAUAACCGGCGAUACCCGAAUGGGGAAACCCAGUGUGAUUCGUCACACUAUCAUUAACUGAAUCCAUAGGUUAAUGAGGCGAACCGGGGGAACUGAAACAUCUAAGUACCCCGAGGAAAAGAAAUCAACCGAGAUUCCCCCAGUAGCGGCGAGCGAACGGGGAGGAGCCCAGAGCCUGAAUCAGCAUGUGUGUUAGUGGAAGCGUCUGGAAAGGCGCGCGAUACAGGGUGACAGCCCCGUACACAAAAGCGCAUGUGCUGUGAGCUCGAUGAGUAGGGCGGGACACGUGGUAUCCUGUCUGAAUAUGGGGGGACCAUCCUCCAAGGCUAAAUACUCCUGACUGACCGAUAGUGAACCAGUACCGUGAGGGAAAGGCGAAAAGAACCCCGGCGAGGGGAGUGAAAAAGAACCUGAAACCGUGUACGUACAAGCAGUGGGAGCACAGGUUUACCUGUGUGACUGCGUACCUUUUGUAUAAUGGGUCAGCGACUUAUAUUCUGUAGCAAGGUUAACCGUAUAGGGGAGCCGGAGGGAAACCGAGUCUUAAUUGGGCGUUAAGUUGCAGGGUAUAGACCCGAAACCCGGUGAUCUAGCCAUGGGCAGGUUGAAGGUUGGGUAACACUAACUGGAGGACCGAACCGACUAAUGUUGAAAAAUUAGCGGAUGACCUGUGGCUGGGGGUGAAAGGCCAAUCAAACCGGGAGAUAGCUGGUUCUCCCCGAAAGCUAUUUAGGUAGCGCCUCGUGAAUUCAUCUCCGGGGGUAGAGCACUGUUUCGGCUAGGGGGCCAUCCCGGCUUACCAACCCGAUGCAAACUGCGAAUACCGGAGAAUGUUAUCACGGGAGACACACGGCGGGUGCUAACGUCCGUCGUGAAGAGGGAAACAACUCAGACCGCCAGCUAAGGUCCCAAAGUCAUGGUUAAGUGGGAAACGAUGUGGGAAGGCCCAGACAGCCAGGAUGUUGGCUUAGAAGCAGCCAUCAUUUAAAGAAAGCGUAAUAGCUCACUGGUCGAGUCGGCCUGCGCGGAAGAUGUAACGGGGCUAAACCAUGCACCGAAGCUGCGGCAGCGACGCUUAUGCGUUGUUGGGUAGGGGAGCGUUCUGUAAGCCUGUGAAGGUGUGUCGUGAGGCAUGCUGGAGGUAUCAGAAGUGCGAAUGCUGACAUAAGUAACGAUAAAGCGGGUGAAAAGCCCGCUCGCCGGAAGACCAAGGGUUCCUGUCCAACGUUAAUCGGGGCAGGGUGAGUCGACCCCUAAGGCGAGGCCGAAAGGCGUAGUCGAUGGGAAACGGGUUAAUAUUCCCGUACUUGGUGUUACUGCGAAGGGGGGACGGAGAAGGCUAUGUUGGCCGGGCGACGGUUGUCCCGGUUUAAGCGUGUAGGUGUGUGUUCCAGGUAAAUCCGGUUCACUUUAACACUGAGGCGUGAUGACGAGGCACUACGGUGCUGAAGUAACAAAUGCCCUGCUUCCAGGAAAAGCCUCUAAGCAUCAGGUAACAUCAAAUCGUACCCCAAACCGACACAGGUGGUCAGGUAGAGAAUACCAAGGCGCUUGAGAGAACUCGGGUGAAGGAACUAGGCAAAAUGGUGCCGUAACUUCGGGAGAAGGCACGCUGACACGUAGGUGAAGUGAUUUACUCACGGAGCUGAAGUCAGUCGAAGAUACCAGCUGGCUGCAACUGUUUAUUAAAAACACAGCACUGUGCAAACACGAAAGUGGACGUAUACGGUGUGACGCCUGCCCGGUGCCGGAAGGUUAAUUGAUGGGGUCAGCGCAAGCGAAGCUCCUGAUCGAAGCCCCGGUAAACGGCGGCCGUAACUAUAACGGUCCUAAGGUAGCGAAAUUCCUUGUCGGGUAAGUUCCGACCUGCACGAAUGGCGUAAUGAUGGCCAGGCUGUCUCCACCCGAGACUCAGUGAAAUUGAACUCGCUGUGAAGAUGCAGUGUACCCGCGGCAAGACGGAAAGACCCCGUGAACCUUUACUAUAGCUUGACACUGAACAUUGAGCCUUGAUGUGUAGGAUAGGUGGGAGGCUUUGAAGUGUGGACGCCAGUCUGCAUGGAGCCGACCUUGAAAUACCACCCUUUAAUGUUUGAUGUUCUAACGUGGACCCGUUACCCGGGUUGCGGACAGUGUCUGGUGGGUAGUUUGACUGGGGCGGUCUCCUCCUAAAGAGUAACGGAGGAGCACGAAGGUUGGCUAAUCCUGGUCGGACAUCAGGAGGUUAGUGCAAUGGCAUAAGCCAGCUUGACUGCGAGCGUGACGGCGCGAGCAGGUGCGAAAGCAGGUCAUAGUGAUCCGGUGGUUCUGAAUGGAAGGGCCAUCGCUCAACGGAUAAAAGGUACUCCGGGGAUAACAGGCUGAUACCGCCCAAGAGUUCAUAUCGACGGCGGUGUUUGGCACCUCGAUGUCGGCUCAUCACAUCCUGGGGCUGAAGUAGGUCCCAAGGGUAUGGCUGUUCGCCAUUUAAAGUGGUACGCGAGCUGGGUUUAGAACGUCGUGAGACAGUUCGGUCCCUAUCUGCCGUGGGCGCUGGAGAACUGAGGGGGGCUGCUCCUAGUACGAGAGGACCGGAGUGGACGCAUCACUGGUGUUCGGGUUGUCAUGCCAAUGGCACUGCCCGGUAGCUAAAUGCGGAAGAGAUAAGUGCUGAAAGCAUCUAAGCACGAAACU
This 2781-nucleotide ribosomal RNA is filed under the name Salmonella enterica subsp. enterica serovar Berta str. SA20103550. RNAcentral describes it as "bacterial LSU rRNA". It matches the Rfam family "Bacterial large subunit ribosomal RNA". The record is from RNAcentral. Lineage: Bacteria; Pseudomonadati; Pseudomonadota; Gammaproteobacteria; Enterobacterales; Enterobacteriaceae.